Molecule: ribosomal RNA, 861 nt
Filed under: Bacillus tequilensis
Lineage: Bacteria; Bacillati; Bacillota; Bacilli; Caryophanales; Bacillaceae
Also listed under: 1 other name
Description: bacterial SSU rRNA
Rfam family: Bacterial small subunit ribosomal RNA
Source: RNAcentral
ACAGAUGGGAGCUUGCUCCCUGAUGUUAGCGGCGGACGGGUGAGUAACACGUGGGUAACCUGCCUGUAAGACUGGGAUAACUCCGGGAAACCGGGGCUAAUACCGGAUGGUUGUUUGAACCGCAUGGUUCAGACAUAAAAGGUGGCUUCGGCUACCACUUACAGAUGGACCCGCGGCGCAUUAGCUAGUUGGUGAGGUAACGGCUCACCAAGGCGACGAUGCGUAGCCGACCUGAGAGGGUGAUCGGCCACACUGGGACUGAGACACGGCCCAGACUCCUACGGGAGGCAGCAGUAGGGAAUCUUCCGCAAUGGACGAAAGUCUGACGGAGCAACGCCGCGUGAGUGAUGAAGGUUUUCGGAUCGUAAAGCUCUGUUGUUAGGGAAGAACAAGUGCCGUUCAAAUAGGGCGGCACCUUGACGGUACCUAACCAGAAAGCCACGGCUAACUACGUGCCAGCAGCCGCGGUAAUACGUAGGUGGCAAGCGUUGUCCGGAAUUAUUGGGCGUAAAGGGCUCGCAGGCGGUUUCUUAAGUCUGAUGUGAAAGCCCCCGGCUCAACCGGGGAGGGUCAUUGGAAACUGGGGAACUUGAGUGCAGAAGAGGAGAGUGGAAUUCCACGUGUAGCGGUGAAAUGCGUAGAGAUGUGGAGGAACACCAGUGGCGAAGGCGACUCUCUGGUCUGUAACUGACGCUGAGGAGCGAAAGCGUGGGGAGCGAACAGGAUUAGAUACCCUGGUAGUCCACGCCGUAAACGAUGAGUGCUAAGUGUUAGGGGGUUUCCGCCCCUUAGUGCUGCAGCUAACGCAUUAAGCACUCCGCCUGGGGAGUACGGUCGCAAAAUGGAACUCAAAGGAAUUGA